Long non-coding RNA from Asparagus officinalis (garden asparagus), 777 nucleotides. RefSeq lists it as uncharacterized. The record is from RefSeq and is a predicted model, not a curated record. Lineage: Eukaryota; Viridiplantae; Streptophyta; Magnoliopsida; Asparagales; Asparagaceae. The transcript is spliced from 2 exons.
ACAAAUAUACUGAAAGGUGCAUAGUAUACUUACAGAAUUAAAGAACAAUAACAGAAUUAAAGAACAAUAACAUACUUACAGAAUUAAAGACAAAUAUACUGAAAGGUGCAAUAACAUACUUUCAAUAAGUUAACAUUCCAGAAUUAAAGAACAAAGAAGACCUCAAAAUUGAAUAGUUGAUAAAUUUUGAUGCUAUGCUUACAGAAUGUAAAGACAAAUAUACUGAAAGGUGCAUAGUAUACUUACAGAAUGAUUUAAGGAUUGAUUCCAAAAGUCCAAAAGCUUUUUCCACUUCUAUAUAAUUGAAACCUAAAUAGCAUAAGUUAGCAUAAUUUUGUUAUCUGAAGAACAUGUUGAAGAAAAUUGAGAGGGUAAAAAAAACUCACCCAAGGCAGAGGUUAUUGCAGUAGAGUUUAGAGUGUAUACAUGUAUUUCCUUAUUGCUCUUUUAUUACCUGACAACUUAUAAUAUAUUAUAAAUUCAGAUUUGCCGCUUUUUUCAGAUUGCCGCUCUUUUCACAUAUGGUUUGAAGAGUUUUGCAUUCAACAUUUUGGUGGGUAUUUUCAAAAUUUUGUAAGCUGAAUGUGUGGGGCCCGCAAUACACUAUAGCAACGCCUGUUUUUGAAGAGAAUUUUGCAAGUGGCUUGUGUGGGGCCCAUAAAACACUGUAGCAACGAUUGGUUUGAAGAUUUAUUCAAGCAACUUUGAAUAAUGUUCUUUUCACAGAUUGCCAAUUAUUUUCUUUUUUUGUUUAAAGUUUUUUUCAGAUUGCCGCUC